CCCCAACCCCGGGUAAUCAGUUUUGAACACUGUGGUGGUUUGAAUAUGUUUUGCCCACGGAACGUGGCACUUGGAGUGGGUGUGGCCUUGACGGAGUGGGUGUGGCCUUGACGGAGGAAGUGCAUCACUGUGGGGGUGGGCUUGGAGGCUCUACGCUUAAACUCCACCCAGAGCAGAAGAGACCUUUCUCCUAGCUGCCUGUGGAAGAAGACAAUCUGUCCUCUGCUUGUCUUCACAUCAGGAUGUAUAACACUCAGGUCUGCCAGCACCACGUCACCCAGGACACUCCCAUGCUUCCUGCCAUGAUGAUAAUGGACUGACCCUCUGAAACUCUCAGGAAGCCGCUGAAGCUGUAAACCCAGCAGAGAAGAGACCCCCUGUGGCCCACUGUGGGCAGAGAGUGGCUUGAACCGUCUCCAGGAUCUGGGACAGCAAGAGCAUCAAGGAAGUGACAUUUCUUUACAUGAGCUAAAGAAAUGGGUAUCACUGUUUGUGCACAUGUGUGCAUGCAGGAGCCUACAAAGGCCAUAAGAGGGAGUCAGAGCUCCUGGAACCUGUUGGUGGGAAUCCUCACCUUUCUACAGAACCACGAACAUGCCCUAAACCUCCAGGACACCUGCCUCCCUCUUAUGGCCUUUAAGGCUCCUGCAUGUACACGUGGACAUAGACUCAUACAGGUAUGUGUACAGAUGUGUGCACGCACACACAGUAAAUAUUCAAAUAAAAGUUAAAGGCUCUGGAUGUGGCUGGACUAAACAACACUCACAGCAGAAACCAGGUAUAGUGGUACACAUCAGAGAUCCCAGCACUCUAGAGGUAAAGGCAGGUCAGAAGUUCAAGGUCAUCUUUAAAGCAUAGAGAAGUCCAAACUACUGUGGGCUACCUAAGACCUGACUCAAAAG
Rattus norvegicus (Norway rat) is the source of this 902-nucleotide non-coding RNA. Lineage: Eukaryota; Metazoa; Chordata; Mammalia; Rodentia; Muridae. The record is from RefSeq and is a predicted model, not a curated record.